GACGAACGCUGGCGGCGUGCUUAACACAUGCAAGUCGAACGAUGAAGCUGGAGCUUGCUCCGGUGGAUUAGUGGCGAACGGGUGAGUAACACGUGAGCAAUCUGCCCUUGACUCUGGGAUAACUGCGGGAAACUGUAGCUAAUACCGGAUACGAGGCUCGAAGGCAUCUUCGGGUCUGGAAAGAAUUUCGGUCCAGGAUGAGCUCGCGGCCUAUCAGCUUGUUGGUGAGGUAAUGGCUCACCAAGGCGACGACGGGUAGCCGGCCUGAGAGGGUGACCGGCCACACUGGGACUGGGACACGGCCCAGACUCCUACGGGAGGCAGCAGUGGGGAAUAUUGCACAAUGGGCGAAAGCCUGAUGCAGCAACGCCGCGUGAGGGAUGAAGGCCUUCGGGUUGUAAACCUCUUUUAGCAGGGAAGAAGCGAAAGUGACGGUACCUGCAGAAAAAGCACCGGCUAACUACGUGCCAGCCGCCGCGGUAA
RNAcentral lists this ribosomal RNA (483 nucleotides) under uncultured bacterium. Its description in RNAcentral is "partial 16S ribosomal RNA". It matches the Rfam family "Bacterial small subunit ribosomal RNA", at positions 28 to 523 of the family's 1533-position model. The record is from RNAcentral.